RNAcentral lists this small nuclear RNA (75 nucleotides) under Nomascus leucogenys (northern white-cheeked gibbon). Lineage: Eukaryota; Metazoa; Chordata; Mammalia; Primates; Hylobatidae. The record is from RNAcentral.
UUUUUAACGAUACAGAGAUUAGCAUGGCCCCUGUGCAAGGAUGACAUGCAAAUUCAUGAAGCAUUCCAUAUUUUU